UUGUGGAACUGCGUGUUUUCUUUCACUAGUUAUAGUCCUCCAUGUAAGAAUCAAAUAGUGAAUCGAACUUUUAAAUGCUGAAUCUUGCCUUUGAAUAAUACAUGUAUUUUCUUUCCUUUGGAUCUGAAUAUGCUCAAUUCUCUUUUUUUUUUUUUUCCUUCUGGUCUUCGUAAUUGUGAUGCUUAAGAGCGUGGAGAGGUUCUCGCCAUCAUGUGUGCACGAUAGUGGGAGGUGGCUCGAGUUAUGCGUGCUUUUGAGCACCUAAUCGCAGCUUGUAAGUUUCGUAUAGUUGCAAAUGAUCUAGUUUCUCGAUUUCAUGCAAUACCCAAGUUACGUGUUUGCAUUUUGAAACUAUACCAAUGUUGGUCACAGCAACUAUAUAUUCCAGGUGAGCGCCGAUGAAAUAUUACAAACUAUGAAAGGCCACAAACUAUAAGCUGAUGUUAUCUUCUGUUAUAAAUGCAAGAUCGACGGUAUCUUAUCCUCUGUCUUUCUACCUCCUGCAGCAUUUGGUGAGAUGCAUAACACAUCUCUAGGAGGCUUUAGUUAUAGAUGGAAAGCUUCAGAGUGCAGAGAUUGAUGAAUUCAUAUAUCAUGAGUCCCUAGUUCAUCC
Long non-coding RNA from Asparagus officinalis (garden asparagus), 613 nucleotides. RefSeq lists it as uncharacterized. The record is from RefSeq and is a predicted model, not a curated record. The transcript has 3 exons. Lineage: Eukaryota; Viridiplantae; Streptophyta; Magnoliopsida; Asparagales; Asparagaceae.